GUGCUCACUUCCAUAGCACAUACACUAAAAUUGAAACAAUACAGAGAAGAUAAGUAUACCCAUGCCCAAGAAUGAUACAUAAAUUCAUGAAGUAUUCCAUAUUUUU
Sciurus vulgaris (Eurasian red squirrel) is the source of this 106-nucleotide small nuclear RNA. NCBI's taxonomy places the organism in Eukaryota, Metazoa, Chordata, Mammalia, Rodentia, Sciuridae. The record is from Ensembl.